AAAAAAGCAGGGUCUUAUUGCCUUCUGUGAAUGAGACUCUCGUAAACUUCAGGGAAAUCACGGGCGUCAUUAUUGGGUGAACCUAUGUAUCUUCUUAGUGACUGAAGGUUCAGUAAAUGAUGCCACAUUU
Molecule: non-coding RNA, 130 nt
Organism: Corchorus olitorius
Lineage: Eukaryota; Viridiplantae; Streptophyta; Magnoliopsida; Malvales; Malvaceae
Source: Rfam